RNAcentral lists this long non-coding RNA (1377 nucleotides) under Daphnia magna. Its description in RNAcentral is "uncharacterized LOC116931548, transcript variant X9". Lineage: Eukaryota; Metazoa; Arthropoda; Branchiopoda; Diplostraca; Daphniidae. The record is from RNAcentral.
CAAGACGCCACCGCUAGAACGAAAUUGAAGGUAGGGGAAACAGAGGGAAUGGAGGGAUCCUGCUACCUGCUAUAUAAGGCCUGAAAAUAUUUGGAAAAUAUCAUAUUUGUUUCUGUCGUUGAAAGGAAAAGAUACUUCAAAAGUUGUGAUUAUCACAUGUUGAUGUACGACAAGCAUGGGUUAUGGAGGGCACGUGUUCGUCCGAUUGUUUCGUCAAGUUUAUUUUCAACUAACUGAUGUAUCCAAGAAAUUCUCAAGUUGUUGAUGCUGAAGUGGAAUUUCUGUGUUGCAGUUUCACUAAGUGGAUUCUGCUUGCUUGAUGAGUUGCUGGCACCUGAUUCACUUGGAUUGGGAGAUUCUGUGUCACUGGUACCCAGUCUUUAUUCUCUGGUAACCAUAAUACUUAGGAGAUCCUUGAAAGGAAUUUUUAAAUCUGCAGGGUCACUUCAUGUCCAAUUAUGCUGUUUGCUAUUGACUAUUGUAUGUUGCAUUCAGGUGCUAACAUGAUGCUGCCCUGUCUCCAGUGUUGCUCUUGGAGGGUGUUGGACUUGUUUGGUUUUAGAUUGAUGUGGGGCUUUUUGGCUGUCUUAAGGUGAUGUUGCGUCGUGUCGGAUGUUCUAUCUCCAGGGUGUCAUUUCGGUACCGUCGGCAAAGCAUCCAAUAAGAUAGGAAGUACGAGUGGACCCUACAUACAUGGCAGGAAAAGGUCGGGAUAUGCAGUUCUGUGAUGCAGUCCAAGAUGCAUCCAAUCCAAUUAUGGUAACGAUUUCUUUAAGUCGCUAGGUCUACUUCUAUUAUGAACUUAGGAAUUUUGUGGCCCACUGAUCUGUUGAAUCAGAGGGGUAGGGAAAUGCUGCAGGAUGCAGGGCGGCCAAUGUUAACGUCAGCAACCACUCAACAUUUAAUGAAUGGCAUUAUUCAUCUGUAAAAUCGUCAAGUAAUGUAUGAUGCGGUGUUUUAAGGAACAUUUGCUCAGGUUGUUCACAAGUUCCAUACUAUGUGAACUAAAGAGCGAUAAAACUAAGAUCCGCUUUCAGGGUUUGUUUAGCAUCCAUGAUUUGAGGUAGAUGUCAAUAUCGUGAAAUAUGUGGAAAUGUUAAGUAUAUUUGUUCGUGUACAUAAAAUAUGGUUAUCUUCUUCGUGUAUCGCCCCCAUGCAUUUAUUAUUUACUACAUUUCAUAACUUUUGUUAUGAAAAACUUUGAAGAAUGUUUAUAGUAAUUGUAAUUAACAUAAAACAAUCUUUGCAAAAUGUUUUAAUCAUAUUUAUAUAAUAUUUAGAAAAAUGUGACGAUUCAACAAAAAGCAUUUCGAAAUUGUUAAUUCGUGUGCAUUGUAUAACUAAUCGAAGUCAAAUUUACGGCGGAAAAAUGCUUAA